UCACUUAUUUUUACAAAUUUAGUAAGACAGC
RNAcentral lists this non-coding RNA (31 nucleotides) under Homo sapiens (human). Lineage: Eukaryota; Metazoa; Chordata; Mammalia; Primates; Hominidae. The record is from RNAcentral.